This 495-nucleotide ribosomal RNA is filed under the name uncultured bacterium. Its description in RNAcentral is "partial 16S ribosomal RNA". It matches the Rfam family "Bacterial small subunit ribosomal RNA", at positions 28 to 507 of the family's 1533-position model. The record is from RNAcentral.
GACGAACGCUGGCGGCGUGCCUAAUACAUGCAAGUAGAACGCUGAAGGAGGAGCUUGCUUCUCUGGAUGAGUUGCGAACGGGUGAGUAACGCGUAGGUAACCUGCCUGGUAGCGGGGGAUAACUAUUGGAAACGAUAGCUAAUACCGCAUAAUAGUAGAUGUUGCAUGACAUUUGCUUAAAAGGUGCAAUUGCAUCACUACCAGAUGGACCUGCGUUGUAUUAGCUAGUUGGUGGGGUAACGGCUCACCAAGGCGACGAUACAUAGCCGACCUGAGAGGGUGAUCGGCCACUCUGGGACUGAGACACGGCCCAGACUCCUACGGGAGGCAGCAGUAGGGAAUCUUCGGCAAUGGACGGAAGUCUGACCGAGCAACGCCGCGUGAGUGAAGAAGGUUGUCGGAUCGUAAAGCUCUGUUGUAAGAGAAGAACGAGUGUGAGAGUGGAAAGUUCACACUGUGACGGUAUCUUACCAGAAAGGGACGGCUAACUACGUG